RNAcentral lists this ribosomal RNA (253 nucleotides) under uncultured bacterium. RNAcentral describes it as "partial 16S ribosomal RNA". It matches the Rfam family "Bacterial small subunit ribosomal RNA", at positions 524 to 776 of the family's 1533-position model. The record is from RNAcentral.
GACGAAGGGGGCUAGCGUUGUUCGGAAUUACUGGGCGUAAAGGGCGCGUAGGCGGCCAUCUAAGUCAGACGUGAAAUCCCCAAGCUUAACUUGGGAACUGCAUCCGAUACUGGAUGGCUUGAAUCCGGGAGAGGGAUGCAGAAUUCCAGGUGUAGCGGUGAAAUGCGUAGAUAUCUGGAGGAAUACCGGUGGCGAAGGCGGCAUCCUGGACCGGCAUUGACGCUGAGGAGCGAAAGCUAGGGGAGCAAACGGG